Molecule: long non-coding RNA, 272 nt
Filed under: Capsicum annuum
Lineage: Eukaryota; Viridiplantae; Streptophyta; Magnoliopsida; Solanales; Solanaceae
Description: long non-coding RNA (CANN_LNC014775)
Source: RNAcentral
UCUGCCGUAAUUCGCGCCCUCCAGACUUUCCUAUCUAGGGUCAUGUCCUCGGGGAGCUGUAACUAUUCCAUGUCCCGCCUAAUCACCUCACCCCAGUACUUCUUCGGCCUACCCCUACCCCGCCUAAAACCAUCCAACGCUAGCCUCUCACACCUACGGACCGGGGCAUCCAUGCCCCUCCUCUUCACGUGUCCGAACCAUCUCAAUCGUGCUUCCCGCAUCUUACACUCCACUGAAGUCACACCAACCUUCUCCCGGAUAGUCUCAUUCCG